This is a small nuclear RNA of Phyllostomus discolor (pale spear-nosed bat), 107 nucleotides long. The record is from RefSeq and is a predicted model, not a curated record. NCBI's taxonomy places the organism in Eukaryota, Metazoa, Chordata, Mammalia, Chiroptera, Phyllostomidae.
GUGCUCAUUUCAGCCACACAUAUACUAUAAUUGAAAUAAUAUAGAGAAGAUUAGCAUGGUCCUUGUGCAAGGAUGUCAUGCAAAUUCAUGAAGCACUACAUAUUUUU